AUAGGUUAUUUCAGUUGGAAAGGGUCCACAAGAUCACUGGGUCCAACUGCUGGACCCCUUCAGCCAGACCAAAAAAUUAAAGCACAUUAUUAAGGGCAUUGUCCAAAUGCCCCUUGAAUACUGACAGUUUGAGGCACCGACCACCUCUCCAGGAAGCCUAUUCCAGGGCCUGACCACCCUCGCGGGAAGGAGCGCUCCCUGUGUGACCGGUAUCUCCUUAUCCGGCUCCAAGACAAGAGUUAAACCGGCAGAAUCAGCCGUUUGGGCGGGACCUGUGCCCGUGCCGUGCCCGCGGCGGCAGCAUCCGGGCUCUCCCUGGCUGUGCUCGCUAAUUGUUUGUGUUAACGAGCGGCCACGAUCGGCGUGUGCCACAGCCGAGCCCGAGCGCUGCCGGCCCUCCCGGGCAGGGCUGAGCCCCGGCGGCGGGGGCGGUUCGGGCUCGGGGGGGCUGCGGGGCCGGCGGCCCAGCCCGGGGGUUGUUCCCGGCUCUCCCGUGUGACGGGGGCAGAGGGGGCGGAGGGUGGAGGGUCCCCCCCCGGCAUUUCCCGUCCCUCCUGCCGGGCAGGGCCGUGACGGGGCCGUGACGGGGCCGCGGUGUCGGUGCAUCGCUGCGUCACGGGCAGGGCCCUCGGCCCGGCAGAGCCGCGGGGUGUUCCCGACCCCUGCUGAAAAACCCUGGGAGCGGUGAGUCCCCCGGGCUGUGGGAAGCCCUGCAGGCGGCAGGGCCGUGGGGGCCCGUUCUCACACCGUCACCGAACAGCUCUGGUGACACCCGGCAGCCGGGACGGAGCCGCAGCCCCUGCGAGGAGGGGGAACGGGACCGCCCAGCCAUCGCUCCUGUGCUGUGAGAUGAGUGAGGCCGGGACAGUGCUGUCAGUGCCCAAGAGCACCGUUAUCCUGCCCCACAAUUCCCCAGCCCCAGGCGGCAGCUCCCUCGGUGGUGACAGUCUGUGUAAUCCUUUGCAUUGCACCUAAAGCCUGCAAAGUGAACAGAGUCUGGUCGCACUGACCCGCCAGAGCUUUGGAGCAGGGAAUGCUUGUGGCCCAGCACAGUGACACCAUGUGAGGGGGUGACAGGGGCAGCUCCUGCCUGCAACCAGCUCGGGGUAAAAAAUAAAACAUUGGGUCCAACUGCAAGUGAUGAAUCCUCAUGGAUGGGCAGAGCCCUGGCAGCUGAGCCAGCAAACGUUCCUGAAGCUGUGGAGCAACCCCGGAGGAGCCAGGGGUUCCCCCUCCAGGAAUGUGCCUUUUUCCCCCAAAAUAUGCCAACCAAGUCCUGAUUCCUGAAGAUCCAAACGGAAUCUCUUCCAAUAGUUUUUCUACUCACUGCAUCUUGCCCUUGUACCCAGCGGCGACUCCUGGUUCCACGUUGGCAGCAACUCACAGCCCAGCCGAGGAAAAACCAGGAGAUGCAGGGUCAGUACAGCACAUCCUGACAAACGUGAUCAGAUUUCCCUG
Pseudopipra pipra is the source of this 1458-nucleotide long non-coding RNA. RefSeq lists it as uncharacterized. NCBI's taxonomy places the organism in Eukaryota, Metazoa, Chordata, Aves, Passeriformes, Pipridae. The transcript has 2 exons. The record is from RefSeq and is a predicted model, not a curated record.